This 21-nucleotide microRNA is filed under the name Canis lupus familiaris (dog). Its description in RNAcentral is "cfa-miR-8887". The record is from miRBase by way of RNAcentral. Lineage: Eukaryota; Metazoa; Chordata; Mammalia; Carnivora; Canidae.
UCCUGCCAUGGCAUUCCGGAG